Long non-coding RNA from Thalassophryne amazonica, 342 nucleotides. RefSeq lists it as uncharacterized. The transcript has 3 exons. Lineage: Eukaryota; Metazoa; Chordata; Actinopteri; Batrachoidiformes; Batrachoididae. The record is from RefSeq and is a predicted model, not a curated record.
UGGUGACCUUGAAAAGUAUGUCAAGGUCACCGACCUUUGAACCCAUGCGAAGUACUCCUCCAAGGCAUGUACCCACCAAAAAUAUAAUAUUUCUGCAAGCAAUAGGUGCGAAGCUACAUUGCGGUGAACGAAUUGCGGCCAAACAGAGAGACGGCCGGACAACCCGGAUGCUAUAUGCCCCGCCUUCUAUGAAUAGAAUUUUGUGCGGCAAAAAAUAAAGAUACGCAUCGAAUCAGAGGAGGGAACCAGCCAGUGGCCCUCAUUUAUCAAUGCUGCGCAGAGUACAGUGCAUAUUUUGAGUGCAAAUGUGAAAUACACACGAGGUAAAGCAGGAUUUCUGAA